Molecule: ribosomal RNA, 510 nt
Filed under: uncultured bacterium
Lineage: Bacteria
Description: partial 16S ribosomal RNA
Rfam family: Bacterial small subunit ribosomal RNA
Source: RNAcentral
GACGAACGCUGGCGGCGUGCUUAACACAUGCAAGUCGAACGAAGAGCGAUGGAAGCUUGCUUCUAUCAAUCUUAGUGGCGAACGGGUGAGUAACGCGUAAUCAACCUGCCCUUCAGAGGGGGACAACAGUUGGAAACGACUGCUAAUACCGCAUACGAUCUAAUCUCGGCAUCGAGGAUAGAUGAAAGGUGGCCUCUACAUGUAAGCUAUCACUGAAGGAGGGGAUUGCGUCUGAUUAGCUAGCUGGAGGGGUAACGGCCCACCAAGGCGAUGAUCAGUAGCCGGUCUGAGAGGAUGAACGGCCACAUUGGGACUGAGACACGGCCCAGACUCCUACGGGAGGCAGCAGUGGGGAAUCUUCCGCAAUGGACGAAAGUCUGACGGAGCAACGCCGCGUGAGUGAUGACGGCCUUCGGGUUGUAAAGCUCUGUUAAUCGGGACGAAAGGCCUUCUUGCGAAUAGUGAGAAGGAUUGACGGUACCGGAAUAGAAAGCCACGGCUAACUACGUG